AGCAGCCGCGGUAAUUCCAGCUCCAAUAGCGUAUAUUAAAGUUGUUGCAGUUAAAAAGCCCGUAGUUGAAUUUCGGGAUUGACACAUCGGUCGUGCCUUAAGGGGUAUGAACUGGUGUAGUCAAUUUCUCACCUUCUGGAGAACCGCGAUGCCCUUAAUUGGGUGUCACGGGGAACCAGGACCUUUACUUUGAAAAAAUUAGAGUGUUUAAAGACAGGCAUUUUGCUUGAAUACAUUAGCAUGGGAUAAUAAAAUAGGACGGCAUGAUUCUAUUUUGUUGGUUUCUAGGAUCACCGUAAUGAUUAAUAGGGAUAGCUGGGGGCAUUAGUAUUCAAUUGUCAGAGGUGAAAUUCUUGGAUUUAUUGAAGACUAACUACUGCGAAAGCAUUUGCCAAGGAUGUUUUCAUUAAUCAAGAACGAAAGUUAGGGGAUCGAAGACGAUCAGAUACCGUCGUAGUCUUAACCAUAAACUAUGCCGACUAGGAAUCAGACGAUGUUAAUUUUUAAUGUACUCGUUUGG
RNAcentral lists this ribosomal RNA (520 nucleotides) under uncultured Entrophospora. RNAcentral describes it as "SSU rRNA". It matches the Rfam family "Eukaryotic small subunit ribosomal RNA", at positions 569 to 1083 of the family's 1831-position model. The record is from RNAcentral. Lineage: Eukaryota; Fungi; Glomeromycota; Glomeromycetes; Entrophosporales; Entrophosporaceae.